RNAcentral lists this ribosomal RNA (509 nucleotides) under uncultured bacterium. Its description in RNAcentral is "bacterial SSU rRNA". It matches the Rfam family "Bacterial small subunit ribosomal RNA", at positions 28 to 515 of the family's 1533-position model. The record is from RNAcentral.
GACGAACGCUGGCGGCGUGCCUAAUACAUGCAAGUCGAACGCUGAUUUUUUAACUGAUGCUUGCAUCGACCAAAAAAUCGGAGUGGCGAACGGGUGAGUAACACGUGAGUAACCUGUCCUUCACUCUGGGAUAAGCCCUGGAAACGGGGUCUAAUACUAGAUAUUCUCAAUGUGCCGCAUGGUGUGUUGUGGAAAGAUUUUUUGGUGAGGGUUGGACUCGCGGCCUAUCAGCUUGUUGGUGGGGUAGUGGCCUACCAAGGCUUUGACGGGUAGCCGGCCUGAGAGGGUGACCGGCCACACUGGGACUGAGACACGGCCCAGACUCCUACGGGAGGCAGCAGUAGGGAAUCUUCGGCAAUGGACGCAAGUCUGACCGAGCAACGCCGCGUGAGUGAAGAAGGUUUUCGGAUCGUAAAGCUCUGUUGUUAGAGAAGAACAAGUAAGAUAGUAACUGAUCUUGCCUUGACGGUAUCUAACCAGAAAGCCACGGCUAACUACGUGCCAGCAGC